GUGGGGGGAAGCGAAGCCCUAAGAUGGGCGGAGAGAAGCAGAUGUGGAGGUGAUGGCGAAGACCCAGAUAUAAGCAGGUCAGGCAGUUGGUGAGUUCCAUGAGGAGACUGCAACUUCUCCACCCUGUGCCCCUCCAGAUCCCUCAUGCUGCUCUGUGUCCUCCAGGGUUGGCCUGUCCAAGUUCAACAGUGGGCUUCCACACCCUCCCACUUCCAGCUGGGUUGGCCAAGGGACCCCACUAAAACAGCAUCCUGCACAAAAUAGAACAUAGCAGGCCGGGCGCAGUGGCUCACACCUGUAAUCCCAGCACUUUGGGAGGCCGAGGAGGGCGGAUCACCUGAGGUC
RNAcentral lists this long non-coding RNA (345 nucleotides) under Homo sapiens (human). RNAcentral describes it as "HSALNT0388024". Lineage: Eukaryota; Metazoa; Chordata; Mammalia; Primates; Hominidae. The record is from RNAcentral.